UACAGAGGGUGCGAGCGUUAAUCGGAGUUACUGGGCGUAAAGGGCGCGUAGGCGGUUUAAUAAGAUUGAUGUGAAAGCCCUGGGCUUAACCUAGGAGCUGCAUCGAUGUCUGUUAAGCUAGAGUAUUGUAGAGGGUAGUGGAAUUUCCGGUGUAGCGGUGAAAUGCGUAGAGAUCGGAAGGAACACCAGUGGCGAAGGCGGCUACCUGGACAAAUACUGACGCUGAGGCGCGAGAGCGUGGGGAGCAAACAGG
This 253-nucleotide ribosomal RNA is filed under the name uncultured bacterium. RNAcentral describes it as "partial 16S ribosomal RNA". It matches the Rfam family "Bacterial small subunit ribosomal RNA", at positions 524 to 776 of the family's 1533-position model. The record is from RNAcentral.